RNAcentral lists this ribosomal RNA (253 nucleotides) under uncultured bacterium. RNAcentral's name for it is "partial 16S ribosomal RNA". It matches the Rfam family "Bacterial small subunit ribosomal RNA", at positions 524 to 776 of the family's 1533-position model. The record is from RNAcentral.
UACAGAGGGUGCGAGCGUUAAUCGGAAUUACUGGGCGUAAAGGGUGCGUAGGUGGUUAUGUAAGUUAGAUGUGAAAUUCCUGGGCUUAACCUGGGGACUGCGUCUGAUACUGCGAAGCUAGAGUACUGUAGAGGAAAGUGGAAUUUCCGGUGUAGCAGUGAAAUGCGUAGAUAUCGGAAGGAACAUCAGUGGCGAAGGCGACUUUCUGGACAGAUACUGACACUGAGGCACGAAAGCGUGGGGAGCAAACAGG